CUCGUUGGACAGUAAACUCCCUAUUUGAUGCAGGCAAAAUCAGUGGCACUCUAUUUCUAAUUUGUGUCAAUCUUGCCACCUGAAUACGCUCCAACUUCAAAUACCCGCUCAUCAAAUCAUCGUUUCCGUCGAUCAGAACCCUCAAUUUCAAUGGGAGAAUCGCAUCGAUGCUCUGUACAUCUUGCCCUCGGCGGUGGCGCAGUUGCCGAUGUGUUGUUGUGGAAAAAUUGGUUUGGGAGCGCUGCUCUGCUUAUCGGUUCUACCGCCCUUUGGUUAUUAUUUGAAAGAGCCGGCUAUAAUCUCUUAUCAUUUAUUUCAAAUGUCUUAUUAUUGCUUGUAGUGAUCUUGUUCUUCUGGGCCAAAUCUGCAUUACUUCUCAAUAGACCUCUGCCUCCUGUUCCUAAUCUUGACAUUUCUGAGGAAUCUGUUGUGAAAGGCGCUGAUGAGAUGCGAGUUUAUGUAAAUCGAGCAUUAUCCAUUGCGCAUGACAUUGCCAUUGGUGGAAACUUGGGACUCUUUGUUCAGAUAGGUUUUUUUGGGCUUGUGGGUGAUAUCCUAUAUUGGAAGUUUCUUCAACUUCCUUACCCUGGCAUAUACUGGGGUUCUUCUCAGUUUAUCACUACCUGUGUUGUACGCCAAAUACCAAAAGCAAAUCGAUGAAAAGCUGAUUAUAGCACAUAAGAUUAUUCAGACACAGUACCGGAAAAUUGAUGAACAAAUAUUGAGAAAGAUUCCGAUGCCUUCAAAAAAUGAUAAGAAGACCCAAUAGAUUCGGUGUAUCUUAUUUUUGCUAGUUGCUGGAUAUCUACAUAGCUUACCAUUAGUUCUGGGAACAAACAGAGGAUGAUUGCCUUCUCGUCUAUGGUUUACGGAAGAGGCUAGUCAAACAUUAUUUUUCAUGCUUGAAACUCAUUGGUCAUAGUUUUCUUAAUUUCUAACCCCGUCGACCCUUCACAGUUUCCACGCUUCAUUGACUUGGAAUAGGGUAAACAGGUUUAGUUGUGAUUUUGGUCGAAAGUCAAUUGAGGAUCUGCAGUUUGCUUUUUAUGAAGUUUCUUUGUGUGAAUGCCAGAAGUCUGAAUAGGAUGGUUAUGACGUAUUUUGUGCUUUAGAGGAACCCCAUAUUGAAAUCGAAACAGGAUCCACCUUGCAACUUUGGGUGAUUUAUUGAGUUUGAAACUUGUAAAAUUCGCUUUUGUAAUUUCUACCAGUUUGAUGAA
Olea europaea var. sylvestris is the source of this 1220-nucleotide RNA transcript. It is a transcript of the gene named reticulon-like protein B11, with no coding region annotated. The record is from RefSeq and is a predicted model, not a curated record. Lineage: Eukaryota; Viridiplantae; Streptophyta; Magnoliopsida; Lamiales; Oleaceae. The transcript is spliced from 6 exons.